Molecule: long non-coding RNA, 3006 nt
Filed under: Populus tremula
Lineage: Eukaryota; Viridiplantae; Streptophyta; Magnoliopsida; Malpighiales; Salicaceae
Description: long non-coding RNA (PTRE_LNC002139)
Source: RNAcentral
GCAGUCAUAAUUUCUCAGCAUUCACACCACCAUGCUUCGACUUCUCAUCCUGUGUAUAUAUUUUUUGCUAGGGCACCUCAUUGUUUUCUCAAGCAGCUCCUGCUUUGUUAUCCAUAGGAAAAUCAAUGAUCUGCAUUAAUAAAACAGAUUAUGAAAUAUAUUAUAGUACUGGGAUAUUAUAACAGCUACAGUAUAGUCAAGUUUGUGGAUCUGCGCUGUUUGAUUAAUCAGCAUUGCAGAUGGUAGCCACUUCGUAUUUUUGCAGUCGAUCAAGGGAUUUGCAGUACGUACGGAUACGCAUGCUUUUAAGCAUAAGGUUUAAAUAGCAAAAUUUUAACUCUAGCUUCCCCCCAGGAAUCAUUCUACGCGCAGCCACCUUCAUUGCCAGCAUAAAAUAGAGCUGAUGUAACCAAGAAGGCAAGAUUUUAACACUAGCUUAUUCCUUUUAUCAUUGAUCAUCUUCGUAUAAUCAUUUUCAGCUUUAUCUUUAUUACUUAGCUGUUUUUCGAAAUUUAGAACACCUGAUGUUUCAAGAAUUUUAUUUGACUAAACUACAGGGGCUCUAAGUAGUGUAAUCAAGGUUCUGUUCAGAUUUGUUUUCAAGUUUUGCUAGAUCUGAGCAACCCUUCUUAAAGUUCUCUCAUUGCGUUAGGGCUGCUAGCUACUUGUGUUUUGAAUGAUUAGCAAUCAAUUCAUUUUGUCCCCUUCUGAUAUUGCCUCAGCACAUCUGAUGUAGUGAAUAAGACGAUGUCUUUCAUUUAUGGUUUGGCAUUAGGAGAGGUGAAGGCCUUCAAUUGAUACUAUAAUUGAACUCGAGGGUGAGCAUUUUUCGAGAGAAGAAUGUUGUACUUGGUAAUAAAUCAAGAACGAGUUCUUAACUUGGCGAGAAUAAUGCAUUGAAUAAGAUGAUGUAUUUCCUUGAUGGUUUGGCUUGGUUAUAUGUGUUUUGAAAUAAAUGAGUUAAAACUUUGAAUCUAGGAUCUUAGAAAGUUAUGAAAAAAUUAUAUAGCUUACUCCAAAUUCAAGAUAAUUUUCAUUUAAAUCUCAAAGUUCAUUUCAUUUAUUUUUCAAUCCUUUGAUUAGACAGAAGAGAUAGAAACUUGUAGAAAAACAAUGAGUAGAAAGAAAGACGCUAAUUUCUUCAUUUUUCAACAAUAAAACUCAACGUUUUUAUGUCAACGGGUGUUUGAUGGUGGUUGUUUUGAACCUUCAUCUUAUCUAGAAAAAUAGAUCCGGGUGGAGAGAGAGAAGGUUUUCCGAAAUUACUUCUGUUUUUUUGGACCAUUGUGGGUGAUUUUUUUGGGUCGUUUAAGUGGUACUUUUAGGUUCUAAGAGUGUUUAUUAGUUAUUUUUUGGUAGUCUAAGGGUAUAUAAAGAAUGUUGUGGUGUGGAAUCAAAUCAUUAUAUAUUAUAUUUUAAAUGAAUUCUACUUGAGCAUGGCUUCUAUUUAUUUUUUUAUAGUCUCCUUUCCUUUGUGAUUUGAAUAUUUAUGGAUUUCCUCCUCUUUCUUUUUCCUCUCCACAUUAACAUCAUAGAAAAUUAUGAUAACAUCAAGCUCAAGUCCCUGCGCCCCAUCUAAAACAGUUUUUGAUGAUAAUCAGGUAGUCAGCAGAAGAUGGGGAUCUACUGAAAUUGAUUUAUAAUCUUUUGUCCUGAUGUUUUCUAUUUUCUUGAUUAGUUUGUUUCUCCUGUUUUUAUUGCAAUGUUUUCUUUCAUUCUUUUUAAACAGUUUUGAUGUAGGAAGAUUUUUAGAGAAAGUUAUUUGUUAAUUAUUUUUAUUUUUAUUUAACUUAGGAAUAUAUUUUCACUUAUGAUGUUUUAUUCUUUCAAUUCAUUUUAGAAAUUUUGUUUUCUCUAAUUGAGUUUAUGCCGAGUAUGAAAGAGGUUAUUUAGUUAUAUAUAAGAAAAUAUUCAAUAAUAAAAUUUUUAAUUAGGAUUUUUUGGUGUGGUGAUCCUAUGCGAUAGAAUUAUGUGUUGUUUUGUGCUUGAUGUCUUUCUUGUGUUAAUUUCAUCUACGUUGAUUGGUAUCAAAACCCAGCAAUUUCUAAAGAUUAGUUGUUAUAUGCAUUGAAUAAUCAUCACUAGAAGAAGAGAUUAUAAAUAAGGACAUGCUAUAUAGAAAGGGAUGAGAAGGUUCUCCCUUUAGAAAGAGAUGUUGAGAAAUCAUGUCAAUUAAUGUUUUUUAUGCAAAAUUUAAUAUAAAAGGAGUGGAGUUCAUAUCUAAAUUUAUUAUAUAUUCAAGGAAGAGAAAGAAAAGAGGUUGAAGAGUUUUGAUUGAACAUUCAUGAAAUUAAAGCAAGAACAAUUUGAACAUGAAAACAAGUUCCUUCCAAUCCAAUCAAGAGGAUUUUUGGAGAAAGUUAUUUGUUUUCUUAGUUACUUUUAUUCCUAUUAAGUUUAGGAAAAUAUUUUUAUGGUGUUUUUACUCUUUCACUUUAGUUUAGAAUUUUUUUUUUUUUUAAUUCAGUUUACUUCUAAUACUAAUAUAAAUUAAGCUGUUUAGUUUGAAUUUUAGGAGGUUACUUGAAGAAAAAAUAUUGGGUAAUAAAAUUUUGAAUUAAAGUUUUUUUUUUUUGAUAUAAUGACCCUAUUCUAUAGAAUUAUGUGUUAUCUUUCUUGUGUUGUUCUGUGGAUGUCAAGUUUCUUGGUGAAAGUUACUUUAUCUUUCAAAAAAAAAAAAUCUAUGAUUUCCCCCAACGAAACAGUCCAAUACUGGUAGUUAUAGUUGGGAAUUCCAACCUUGGUAUUGCAGGUUCCAAUCACAGAUGGGUAGGUAAGAGCUGAGGGAACAAGACAGGGACACUUCCUACUGUGUAAGCCAAGGCUUCAUUAGCCUUCCAAUAAACCAGAAAUGAGAAAGAGAACAUGUCAACGCGAAAGCUAAUAUUGGAGCGCACCUAUCAUUCACAUCAGACAGGAACAGGACUUUGUUCUAGCAAUUCUUUCCCAGUGAUGCCAUCCUUCAAAUCUUUAAAAUAAAUGUCGUAGUCCUUCUCCUGAGGUGGG